This 338-nucleotide long non-coding RNA is filed under the name Solanum tuberosum (potato). RNAcentral's name for it is "long non-coding RNA (STUB_LNC009702)". The record is from RNAcentral. Lineage: Eukaryota; Viridiplantae; Streptophyta; Magnoliopsida; Solanales; Solanaceae.
AUGUGAAACUGAUUCGAAGAAUAUUAAAACUUCAUCAGAAUUCAAGGUUCAUUCGGUUAACGAUUAGAAGAAUAUAAAAACUUCAUCGUUAAACUAGAAACAAGUUGUAUAAAGAUUGAAUCUUUAUUGUUAGUAUUCUAAAUACUAAGUGGUUUGUCUAGUUGUGACAAAAAGGUUUAAAAUGUGGGGGGUUCUUUACUUGUGAUAAAGACAAAAUUAGACUUACUAUCUAAUUUAAAUUUAAAAGUACAAGAUAUGAAAUUUAAUGACAUUCUUGUAUUAUGUUAGACCCACAAAAUUCUUCGAGUAUAUUUGAUAUUGUGGUCGUUGAGUCUCUC